AGGACUGGUCCUUGAAGGCCAGGAUGACCUGUUCCAGGACUAGGACCAGGAAGAAGCCCAUAGACACAAUGAACUCGGGAAGAGGGAACUGGAGCUGUGAGGAGAGAAGAUCGGAAAACUAAACACAACAGCAUUGUCAAAGUACAUCAGAGAGGAAAGGAGAAACCCACCACUGUGUGUCUGAGUCCAAACUUACUGUGAUGCCUGCACUGCUGAAGGCCUCGUUGAUGCCCUGCAGGUAGUCUGGCAGCAGGUCCAACAGGCAGGUGGCCAAGAAAACUCCUCCAGCAAAGCAGCUGAUGAGGCCAAGAAGCCUGUGGCGUAAAUCUGUAAAUCAGACAGAAACUCACAAUGAAACCUAGCAUAAAACCUGCUGAGCAUCAUGGGCAAACAGCUGCUUGGCGCUAGCCUUGUCACCAGCACACGGGGAGGGACCCAAACGCACGGCGCAGACAGGAAGUGGAUUUAUUAAUGGCGUUGGCAGACAGGCAAAGGUCGGUACACAGGUUAGCAAUACUUCACAGACAAGGAGUAGGCAAGAGUUAGUCUCCAAGCAUGAAUUAUACACAGAGGCAGAGUCCAAUUCAGUACCGACAGGGAGCAGGCAAGACAAGGUCAAACACGAAGCAAAAGUGGACUUACAAGGUGAGAAAGCUGGUGAGUCAAACAGGUAAAUGAUCAAGACCAUCUGGCAAACAAGAGUGGUGAGUAUUGGUGCUUAAAUGCCGGAGAGUGAUUACUGAACGGAAACAGCUGGUGGUGACGUGACAGACAAACACAGGUGAACCAAACAGGAACUUAUCAAAAUAAGACAGGAACCCCAAAACAGGCAAGAUAAUGGUGACAACAAAGCUGAUGCAUGACAAGCCUAAAGCUAGGUGUGUGGGUCAGACAUAAUAAUAAUAAUAAUAAUAAUAAUAAUAAUAAUAAUAAUAAUAAUAAUAACAAUAAUAGAAACUUUAUUCAAAUUAGUUUCUGCAUUUGACCGAUCCCCUGGGGGAGCAGUGGGCACCCACACCGAGGUGCCCGAGGUGCAGGUGGGAGAUCAAGCUACGUGCUCCUCGUGGUCUGCCUUCUCACCUGGGUUCAGGUUGCAGCGCCCCGUUCCCUGGGUGAUGCACAGUGGAGUGAAGCCAAACAGCAGCGAGGAGGUCAGCAGGACCACUAGUGCUCCCAAUUUGAUCUCCAGGGCGGGGACAUCAGCCGGGUUUACCUGCAGGACCAGACCUUCAACCCCAGGAGACAGGAGGGCGGAGGAGGACACUCGGACCCCGACAGCCAUCUUUAAUAAGGUUGGUGUGUGUCAAACAGGAAGGGGGGUGGUAGAUGUCUUAAACGCCGGCCAUGGAUUCAUACAGGAGGAGACGCCCAGGUGAGUCCAGAACUGAUCUGUGUUCAAAGGGGAUCCUGACACAAAUAUGAUCCUAUGCUGUAAUAAUAUACUAUAAUAUACCGUAAUAAUACACAAUAACGUACUGUAGUAACACACAGUAAAGUACUGUAAGGAUGCGCAGUAACAUACUGUAAUAAUACACAGUAAAAUACUGUAAUAAUAAACAGGAAUCGAUGGCAGUGUUGUGUAUGUUUCUCUCACUGAAGCGCCCAGAAUCAUGAUGUUCUGAAUUAUACUGCAGCCUCAGUGUCAGGAUAGUUUCAGACUCGUCAUUACCCAGUCAGAUUCUGGCGAACCGAGCCAUGAUCCUAACAUGAACUUUAAAUGUAGUAGAUUAAAACACGUGCGUUACUUCAGUAACUGUACUCAGUUUUAGAGCAGCUUUAUUGUACAGCAAUGACUGGAUCAGAACUUUACCAUAAUGUUAUCAUCACUGUUCAGACACCACAAAUUGGUGUCGGAUUAACCGAACCGAAGGAACCUCUUAAAAGCGUGCGAACUUCAGUGAAACUUACGAAGCGACGUAUCGGUGGCCCUGAAUUUAAAGCUUCGGUAUUAUCGAGUUCAUCCGUAGUAGAAUCUGGUUCUGUUGGACUCGGGCGCUGUUGACCCACCGUUUGUUCUUCUCCCCUAGGGAAAAAAGCUCGAUGUGGUUACAUGUUGUCCGGGAAGCGCCACGCUGUUGUCACUUGAUGAAGCACCAACUGGAAGGGGAGGUUCAGCUGCUGAGCGAGUCCUGGAGAAAUGCCUGCAGCGAUUCAUCACGUAGCAAAGAAUGAUCACGUCCUGCAGACAACGUCUGCUGCACAGUCACAGCUUCUGGUGACAGUGCUGAGCUUCGCAAUGCGUGGAUGCCUCUGGGGACUUUUUAGUGGAUUUUAAGAUCUGUUAAGAAGAAAGAAGAAAAACAAGAACAAUACUGAAGCCUGAGUCUAAAAUAGGCCCCAAAGCCCCACAGAGACCUUGAAGUCAAAAAGAUAUUCCCUUUACAAGAACUGAAGCCAACACAUGAUAAAUGUUUAUUUUCUUUAAAUUGUACAUAAUUCUGAUCCUGCUCUUGUUUUAUAACUGUACUGCUGCUGCAACGUGGGAAAUUUCCCCAUUGUUAUUAUUUGGUGAUUCGUAUCAUCUAACACUACAUGAUAUGAACCACUGCUCUAAUACUGAACUUGAUGUCUAUUCGUGCAUAAACACUAGAAAAGUUCUUAUCUGUAGAGCACAUAAAGCUAAACAGACAAAAACACCUGCUCACAUGUUCUGAAGUCAUAUUCCCUAUAAAUCUAAUGGACUGUGACGAGACAUAAAAGCCAGCAAGUGACUCGUGUGACACACGGUCCAGAUAGAAGGAGUAAAACAAGCAGAUAUAGAGCAGAUACGUGAAGGAUGAGAUGUGAAGCUAACAGGCCUCUGAGUUUAUGAGCCAGAACAGGAAAGGUCACCCGAGGCAGACUGACUAAAGAACACAGACACAGAUUAGGUUUAUGUCCAACUGAAGAGCCUGAACAUUUAUGUAACAACAAACUACAAAUCAGAAAUGUGACCUCUACUCCACAGACAGAGGUGUGCAUUGAACCUUUAGUUAAAAAAAGCAGUGGCCCAGGCUCAUUUUACAGCAGGCAGCAUUUUAUUGUGUGAAACAUGCUGAUGUUGUGAUAUGUGAGCUUGUAAACUGAACCUUAUCUUCUAUUCAUAAAAAAAUCAUCCUUCAUUCAUUCACAGACAGAUUGUCAUAAAAGAUAAGAUUCAAUAAGCAAUAAGGAAAAACUUUACUGAUCUCCUUGGGGAAGUGCCUCUGACCCUUCCCCUGGGGAGCACUGGGCUGUCUCACAUGGAGCUAUAGUGUGAAGUAUCUUGCUCAAGCACACACCUGGUGCCAGAGGUGCAGACUGAACCAGGGACUUUCUGAUGCUCUACCUACUGAGCUACCAGGCCUGGGUUUCUAUUCACAGCUAAAAUGGUUCACACCUUAAAAACUUUAGCUCUACAUAAAGAGCACCUGUACUGUAGCUGGUACUAGAUUGAGAAGUCAGUAGGAAACACAGCAACUCAACGAGUCACACACAUACAGCAGCCUCCCCUCUAGCCUUUGCCCUGGUCAGAAACACCCCUACAUACAGUCAUAAAUAAUUAACUAAACUUUAAUUUGUAGUUUAAACUUUUAUUAAUAACGAACGCUUUGACCAAACAGCUACAGACGGAGCCUUAAUACCAGAUGUUAUUUAACAUCUGCCUGUAUAAGCCUCUCAGCUGGGGAUGGCCUACAUCUACUCAGCUUCAGGAGCUGUAAGAAAAAACUACAGGAAACAGUCA
Long non-coding RNA from Betta splendens (Siamese fighting fish), 3703 nucleotides. RefSeq lists it as uncharacterized. NCBI's taxonomy places the organism in Eukaryota, Metazoa, Chordata, Actinopteri, Anabantiformes, Osphronemidae. The record is from RefSeq and is a predicted model, not a curated record. The transcript has 3 exons.